Molecule: long non-coding RNA, 1448 nt
Organism: Ctenopharyngodon idella (grass carp)
Lineage: Eukaryota; Metazoa; Chordata; Actinopteri; Cypriniformes; Xenocyprididae
Exons: 5
Source: RefSeq, a predicted model, not a curated record
AGGUUUGUGUUUCCGUUCACAGUGCGAGAUGUUUGAAUGAUCACAGUAUAGCAGAUAUUUAUCUGAAUCAGAAAAUGAAGAUCAUAUCGCUUCAGAUCUAUCUGCUCAUGUGGUCUCAAGCCACAGAGAGUCUAACAAACAUACCAGUAACUUUAGGAGCUGAUGUUAUUAUAACCUGUGAUCUUGAUAUAGAGGAGAUUUACUGGUACAAACUGAAAUUACCGGAUCCUCCAGUGUUGAUCUUACGCACUUAUGAUAGCAUAUAUGAAAUAGCUAAAUAUGAAAAUAGCAUCUUUGAACACAAAUACUCAGUGAAAACUAACAGUCGUCUGUUCAUCAAAAAUAUCACCAUUGAUGAAUUAGGAGUUUAUUAUUGCGUGAAAACUAGUGAACCACAAAAAUUCAAUAAUGGCACCAAAAUCUACAUCAGCGACUUUGACCAAAAGAAUAUUACAGACUCAGUCCACAGGAAUCAGACAGAUGAUGCUCCACAACACCAGAUACCAUGGAAAACUCUGACCAUCACAUCUGUCCUGAUAAAUGUACUCUUGACCAUUGCAGUGAUAGGUUUGGUGAAGAGCUGCCUUAAUGCAACCAGAAGAUCUAAAAAUACUUCAGUGGACCCUCAAAGUACAGCUGCAGCUCAGUAUGCUGAAAUUGAUUUUUCCAUGCCUCCCGGUGGAAGCAGUCCUUGCCAGGAACAGACAACAUACUCUCUUCUACAGCCAAUAAAAACUUUCACAAACAAGGCUUAAGCUAGUCCCAGACUAAAAUGCAUGUUUGAGCUGUUUCAAAUGAAUGCAACUUGUACUGACAGAUCUUAAAAUAUGUCAGAGCCAUUGUUUUGUCUCAGUUGCACACUAAUGUUUGUUUUCUAGUGAACGUUUAUAAAAGCUACUUAAAUACCCUAAUUGAACUAAGGCCUAAUCCUGGCUUAGGCUAAGACCUGUCUGUGAUACUGGGCCAUGAUAAUUUUUAAUGUACAUAAUUUGAAUAUACAAAUAUAACGUUCAUACACAAAUACUCAGUGCAGUAGAAUCUACUUGUACUUGUAUGAUGCAGACAGUUUGUAAUGAUCAGUUCUGAGAUGAUUUGUCACAUUAUGUUUUAAAGUUAAAUAUGAAAAAAAUUAUUAAAAUUCUUAUUUUUUGAAAAUAAAGUGCUAAAAGUAGUGGACACCAGGGCUAUUUGCCACAAGAGGAAAUUCUCACAAAUGCUGUAUAAAGUUUUGAGUCCAACGUGUGUUUCCUCGACUGGUGGUUUUAACCACGAGGUUCAUCUGUGCUCUCAGAACAAGAGUUUGUUGCAUGCAUGUUUUUGUGUUACCUUGUUUGCUGCUUAAUGAAUUGUUACAUGUUUAAACAUGCAGUUUGGUGGAUGCUGUACACAGAGUGUGGUAGAUAAUAUAAUGCUCUUGUCUGGUAAUAAAAGUUGCUGUUUUGAAUGGA